AAAAAGGGUAUGACAGACGAGUUUGAAGCUUCUUGACAAGUACUAUGGGGAUUCGAUAUAGACAUUUCUUUUGAAGUGAAUGAAAUCAAGAGAUCUGUAACUUCCACAAGCAGGGGAACAACCAUCUGAUUUUCUGAUCUCAAGCAAAGAAGAUAUUAGUUUCCUCUAAUGUUGUUGCUUUAAUGGCUAUAAAGAACGAACUGAAUGACCCUCACAAUGUAUUGGAGAACUGGGAUAUCAAUUCAGUUGAUCCUUGUGGCUAGAGGAUGGUUACCUGUUCUUCCGAUGGCUAUGUCUCAGUUCUGUAAGAUACUACUGCUUAAAUUGGACAAAAACCCAUGAUCAUCUAUCCUUUUAUCUCACUCGAUGAAUGUGCAGAGAUCAGUCGGCAAUUUGAGAUAGGCCCAGCUCAACCAGUUCAAAACCUGAACCAAAUCAACCCAAGCUCGUCCCGCUAAAAGCUCCAUGCUUUACUACUUGGAAGAAUGAAAAAAUUUGCACCAAGAGCUUGAAGGAUUCCUAACUAUGUUCAUGUUUACUUUGCAAGUCUCAUGAAGCAAGGUUGGAUCUGCCGCUUUCUUUGGACUUGUAUACGUUCUCAGCAUAUUCUUCAAAAGCUACAAGUAGUUUCAGAGAUCAUGACUGAUUCUGAUCAUGUGAUAUUGGGAGCUGGAAGUAGUUUGAUGGUUGAAAUUGACCACCGCCUGUUUGUGUAUCUAAAUUUCCAAAUACUUCCAUGCUGAAUUGUCUGGUGAAAUAUUGUGCUGUCCAUCCAUUCAGAGAACAAAUGGAAAGACAAACACUUUCCAGUGAAGCUCGAGUGUUAUUUGACUGUGGGAAGAUGGAUGAUCUGGUGCAGUGACUACAAUGAGGAGUCCUGCAUGACAUCUCUGAAUUCAGUGGGCCGUGACUGGGGCAUCACCGUACUCCAAUCAGGCGAUCUUAGCUGCCCAUCGAAUGCCUGCAAAACGGCUGGCCGGAGGAUCCUCCGGUGAAGAUAAAAGGGCAGGGACAUGGGGUUGUGGACUGGGGAGUCCUCUGCACGACACCUCUGAAACUGGUACCCGGUGGACCAUAGUGACAAAUCUCAUUACCAUUUACCGUACCUUGCUUUAAUGAUGUUCGCUAUCACUUCUACCUUUUGUAUAGAUGGACAAGGCUAAUCUCAAGAGGAAGGUUGCAGAAUUGGAUGAGAUAGUGAAGAAACUUUUUGGAUCACAAGACAUCCAAAAACGGGUUCACCAACCCACGAAGA
Molecule: long non-coding RNA, 1255 nt
Organism: Magnolia sinica
Lineage: Eukaryota; Viridiplantae; Streptophyta; Magnoliopsida; Magnoliales; Magnoliaceae
Exons: 7
Source: RefSeq, a predicted model, not a curated record